AGCAGCCGCGGUAAUUCCAGCUCCAAUAGCGUAUAUUAAAGUUGCUGCAGUUAAAAAGCUCGUAGUUGAAUUUCGGGGUCAAUAUGUUGGUCGUGCCUUGGUACGUACUAGCUUAUUGAUUUCUCCUUUCUGACGAACCAUGAUGUCAUUAAUUUGGUGUCAUGGGGAAUCAGGACUGUUACUUUGAAAAAUUAGAGUGUUUAAAGCAGGCUCGCGCUUGAAUACAUUAGCAUGGAAUAAUGAAAUAGGACAUUUGAUUCUAUUUUGUUGGUUUCUAGGAUCGAUGUAAUGAUUAAUAGGGAUAGUUGGAGGCAUUAGUAUUCAAUUGUCAGAGGUGAAAUUCUUGGAUUUAUUGAAGACUAACUACUGCGAAAGCAUUUGCCAAGGAUGUUUUCAUUAAUCAAAACGAAAGUUAGGGGAUCGAAGACGAUCAGAUACCGUCGUAGUCUUAACCAUAAACUAUGCCGACUAGGGAUCGGAUGAUGUUAAUUUUUUAAUGACUCAUUCGGCGCCUUACGGG
RNAcentral lists this ribosomal RNA (520 nucleotides) under uncultured Glomus. RNAcentral describes it as "SSU rRNA". It matches the Rfam family "Eukaryotic small subunit ribosomal RNA", at positions 569 to 1094 of the family's 1831-position model. The record is from RNAcentral. Lineage: Eukaryota; Fungi; Glomeromycota; Glomeromycetes; Glomerales; Glomeraceae.